UACAGAGGUCUCGAGCGUUAGGCGGAAUCACUGGGCUUAAAGCGUGUGUAGGCGGAUCGUUAAGUACCUUGUGAAAUCCCACGGCUUAACCGUGGAACUGCUUGGUAUACUGGCGGACUUGAGCCAGCUAGGGGCUACCGGAACAAAUGGUGGAGCGGUGAAAUGCGUAGAUAUCAUUUGGAACGCCAAUGGUGAAAACAGCUCGCUGGGGGUGCACUGACACUGAGACACGAAAGCCAGGGGAGCAAACAGG
Molecule: ribosomal RNA, 253 nt
Filed under: uncultured bacterium
Lineage: Bacteria
Description: partial 16S ribosomal RNA
Rfam family: Bacterial small subunit ribosomal RNA
Source: RNAcentral